UAUUUCGCUGAACUUAUUCCUUUCGAGUUCCGACUUCUGAGACCCUUCUCAUUCUUUUCAGUUAGUCUACCAAAUCCUCAUCAGUUAGUCUCGAUUCAUUUUUCUCUUCCUUUUCCUCUCUCUUCGUUUUCCCGUUCUUACUUGAAACUGAAUAGGGUUUUAGGGGUAGUUUGAAAUCCGAAAUCGUCCAAUGUAAAAAUGAUUGAAGAAAAAUUGUUGUUAUCAGCAAACCCAACUUUCUUCGUGAAGGAAGAAAAAUCGCUUAAUGCAAUUUGGUGCAUAAAUUUGGUGAAAGAAAUGAUUUCCAGUUGAAAAUAUGAUUGCAGAAUUUUUCUUAACAAGGGGAGUUCAAAUAUUAGGAUAACAACAAGAUCAUUGAAGAACAGACAUGGCAUAAAGUGGCUUCAAUCACCAGGGAGAUAGUGCGUGCUCUGAUAUGACAUACCUUCAUAAAUAAGUACCAAUAUGUUCUCUUUUAAAUUGGAUUACGUGCAGUAUGAGUAAAUUUGUGAAUCCAAUUACAAUUACAUAUAGGUUACUGUACUGUAUUUGAGUAUGUACAUAGGUUACUGUACAUAGAAUUAAUUUGCUUUGUUUUUGAUCUGCUGGAGUACUAAGCAUUUUUCUUAUAUAUAUAUAUAAGCAGUUGUCCAGAAAUUUGAUGCAGUGGAAAAGAUGGGAUCAAAUAGAUAUAUGUUUGAAACGUUUGUUACUGUUUUAGUGGAAGGGGGUAACAACAUUCUUCAUUGCACUCUAUUGGAGUAUGGACCACACUGCGGUUGUCGACUCUGAUUCGAUUUGUCGUCCUUAACCCCGCUCAAUAAUGUGCAGCUCAUCAUCUUCCGCUUCACCACCAAUCACUUUUGUCCUCUAUAUGAUUAAUUUGAUAUUACAUCUCACCGCCCAGUCACUUUCUUCCUUAUUGAAUGAUAGCCUGAUAAACAUGGCGGCUUCAGUUCCAGAGCAACCACUUUUUAUUGUUCUUGCCCAGUCUCCAUGGUGUUCGCAAGGCAGGUUCAGACUGAAGGCAGGUCGAGGGGUAGAUCAACGUGAAAAAUCACAUGUUGAGGUAGAAUAUUAUAAUACCUUUGCUUCUUUUCUUUAAGAUGCGGUCUUAAUCUAAAGAUGUUGCAUAGGUAUCAUAAAAAUCCAGCAAAACUAAGAGUUGCUACCAGCUAUCAUCUUUUUGCAUUGUAGAGAUAAGAUUUGAUUCUGACAUCAUAUGCUGUUGUAGAUUUUUUUAUUUUUUUGUACAGAUUGAUCCAGUUAUCUGAAUGCUAGUCGUUCUACUCUUGCAAUGUCUACCAAAACAUGACAUACUCACUUUUUCAAAUUCUUAGGUGGCAAACCUCUGACGAGCAUUAAAAGUUUGUCGUUUACUCAAUUCAUCUACAGACAUCAUUAUCCAUCUUCUUUGUCAUGAAAAACAAGAUAACACCACACAUGCACUACUGAAAAAAUAAGUCGUGUAUUACACAACAUUCGGUUCAUGUGUAAGGAUUUCGUCUCAACCCUUCCAGCACGUGUUUACAAACUAGGAACACUUGACAUGCAUUUCUGUUCUUCAUUUAAAUUUUAAUCUAUUUACAUGUCAAGAAUUGGGGUUCGUAAGCUUAUUGGUCUGUUGUUUCUUCUUAUCCUGUUCUUGAUUACUUGAGUGUAACUUUGAUUCAUAUAAUCUGCUCAAUUAUUAUUUUGGUUAAAGCGUUACACAUUAUUUGGUUUAAAGCUCUUUUGAUAUCUUAAAGUUUGGCGGCUACUAUAUAAACCUUUCUCGAUUUGUCUUUCACUCCCACUGUUGCAUCUACUCAGGUAAUCGCCUCUUCUGUUUACAAUUUAAGCAUCUGUAGUUGGUUUUAUCUCGGUCGUUCACAUAGUUCCAGGUAUAUCUAGGGCCUAUCAAUCAUAGCCUUGACAUUUUUACUCUGCUAAGCAUACGAUGUGGUAUUUAUCCUAUUUUCCAUGCUUACGCAGAUGCUUCAAAUGGGUUCCAGAUUCACUGCAAUCCCUCCAAAAGGCUUCCACAUCUCCAGGCACCACCUACAAGACCUUGGACCAGCUCCCGAAUUGGUGAACAGUAGCCAUGGCAGGUUCAAGUCAUAUCUAGAAAAUGCAAUGAAGUGGAUUUCUUGGGAAAGAACGAUAUUACCAGCUUGGAUAAUCCGUUUCUCGACGAAAACACGAGUUUUUCCUCGAUCUUAUUAUUAAAAUUUGGUUGCACCAUUUAUUUACAUUCCUGAAAUAAAGUAACAAUCGAUUUUCCAUGGGGAGGAAAUUGAAGGCCCACUACGCAUCAGUGUGGUCAAGUUACCUAACACAGACGCACAUCCUCCACCUGAUUUUAGGAACAGUAAGUGUAAAAAUGCCUCUCAUUCUGAUGAUGAUCAAGAUCAACGCAAAAGAAGAAUUACUAAAAAAAUUACUCUCCUGCAAAAAGUUGGUAACGAAACAUCCGACUGUAUCUUUGGUGAAGUAUGAUUGCUGUAUAGUAUAGUGAUGCACCCUUGGUGAUACAGCAAUCGCGCUCCAGACGUGAACUGCUAGAAGCCUAGAACUUUGAAGCAGGAUUCUAUAUAGCAUUCGUAUCUGUUUAUUUGAAUCUAGCUCGAUCUUUUUAACAAUUUAUCUAUUAUUGGAUUUAUGGCUUUAAUUUCUAUCAAGAUUUUUCAAUAUUCUGUUCA
Molecule: long non-coding RNA, 2681 nt
Organism: Papaver somniferum (opium poppy)
Lineage: Eukaryota; Viridiplantae; Streptophyta; Magnoliopsida; Ranunculales; Papaveraceae
Exons: 4
Source: RefSeq, a predicted model, not a curated record